GCAUGGCUUCAGCAAUACUUUUGCCUCCCUCUGAUGUGAUGCCAUUGAAUGCGAGACUGUGAAGUAAACAGACACAAAGGCUUAAGAACCAGCCCGCGUUACUUGACCCUGCCACUGCCAAACACUAAGGAGUAUUCUGGGUGGUCUCAUGGUGUGUGUUGACUCUUAAACACAAUACCUUCUGUUGUGCAGGGAGAGAUGAGCUUGUAAAUGCAUGCUUUCCAUUACAAACCACAAACAUUUCUUAGUCUGCCCUUCGUUCUUUGAAUAGACGUUGGCAAAAUCAUCCGGUUAAACUCAUGCUUCGGGCUUUGAGAGUUCAAAAAGCAUUUCCAUCCUCAGAAGCUAGGCCAGAGCUUGAAAAUAGUGCAAGGCCUCGAAAAAAA
Oxyura jamaicensis (ruddy duck) is the source of this 386-nucleotide long non-coding RNA. RefSeq lists it as uncharacterized. NCBI's taxonomy places the organism in Eukaryota, Metazoa, Chordata, Aves, Anseriformes, Anatidae. The record is from RefSeq and is a predicted model, not a curated record. The transcript is spliced from 2 exons.